GCAUUGGGGGCAUGUCCGUGAAAGAGCAGAUGGAGACCAUCCGACACGGUGUACACAUGAUGGUGGCCACCCCGGGGCGCCUCAUGGAUUUGCUGCAGAAGAAGAUGGUCAGCCUAGAUAUCUGUCGCUACCUGGCCCUGGACGAGGCUGACCGCAUGAUCGACAUGGGCUUCGAGGGUGACAUCCGUACCAUCUUCUCCUACUUCAAGGGCCAGCGACAGACCCUGCUCUUCAGUGCCACCAUGCCGAAGAAGAUUCAGAACUUUGCUAAGAGUGCCCUUGUAAAGCCUGUCACCAUCAAUGUGGGGCGCGCUGGGGCUGCCAGCCUGGAUGUCAUCCAGGAAGUAGAAUAUGUGAAGGAGGAGGCCAAGAUGGUGUACCUGCUCGAGUGCCUGCAGAAGACACCCCCGCCUGUACUCAUCUUUGCAGAGAAGAAGGCAGACGUGGACGCCAUCCACGAGUACCUGCUGCUCAAGGGGGUUGAGGCCGUAGCCAUCCAUGGGGGCAAAGGUCAGGGUGGUGCAAGCACUGGCUUGGACCCUGCUGCAGUAGCAGCGCUUUACCUAAUGCCUUCCCCUGCCUGGUUGGCCUGCCACUCCCCUAUCCCAUGGUGGCUCUGACAGUGUCUGCCUGACCCUCCCCAGACCAGGAGGAACGGACUAAGGCCAUCGAGGCAUUCCGGGAGGGCAAGAAAGAUGUCCUAGUAGCCACAGACGUUGCCUCCAAGGGCCUGGACUUCCCUGCCAUCCAGCACGUCAUCAAUUAUGACAUGCCAGAGGAGAUUGAGAACUAUG
Molecule: small RNA, 794 nt
Filed under: Pan troglodytes (chimpanzee)
Lineage: Eukaryota; Metazoa; Chordata; Mammalia; Primates; Hominidae
Description: retained intron
Source: RNAcentral